GUACAGCACGACCUACCUCAUCGGGACCUUGUGCCUCAGUGCAGAAUGGAGAAGGUUUGCCAAUUAGCACAAGCUGGUCGAUGGCGAUUGCCUGGUCUUCCAGUUGAUCAAGACCACAAAGUUAAAGAACCACCUGACAUAUUUAUGGUUGGAGUGCGCUGCCGGGCGUGCCCCCAACAUAUACCUCAUUGAAUUCAGAUCGACGCGUGCUCAUGGAUGAAUUGUUGGUGAUUCCCCUGCCAACUCAAGUAUGAAGAUCAUGCAAGUAAGGUUUGAUCCCACGCACUACUCGAGCUCCGCCUGGCUCCAAUCGAAUGGUGCAGCGACGACUGGGGCUAGCACCACCCCCGCUCGUGGCCAGCUCCGGCACGACUCGCUGCCGGCUCGAGUGCGCCCUCGACCGGCGGCAAGGAAGCGGGUGGGGUCAAGCUGGCACAGAAGAGGCCGCCCGGCAGCCGCCGUACUCAAGGCGCGUGCAGCCGAGCGGGGCGUCGACGGAGGAGCCGCAGAGGGGUGAGGAGGCAGGUGCCAUGGCGGGGGUCGCGGGGUGGAAUUACAUUGGACCUGAGGUUUGUUUAUUCUUUAUUUUCUAUCUUGUGACGCAAACUAUAUUUUUAAUAUCAAGAAGGAUUUUGUCUUUCUGCAGAGAAGUCCUUCACAUGCAGUGAUCAUACGGGCAAUUGAGCAUGACAGAAGUACAAAGUGAUUGACAAGUUAAAUAAUCGAUUACUUGAGGAAAUUGAGGAAAGUAAGGCCUUUUUUCAGGUUUAUGAAGGUGUUGUCUACAUACAUCAGGUGUCAAUUACCGUGUUGAGGACUUUGACUAGUCAAUUAUCAUCAAGGACAGCCUAGGCCAGUGCCCAUGCGAGCCAGGUUUUUGAAAGCCAAGAAGUUCGGUGCGGAGAUGCUGAAAUGGAGGAUGGACUUUAGAGCCGACACCAUCCUUGAGGUGAUAGUAUUAUCAUUAAUGGUAUUGAAUUGAUAGUGUUAUCAUGAAUGCUGGCAGUGGGUUCAAGUUGAUCUGGAACAGUGUGAAGGGCUUCAUUGACCCAAAAACGUCAUCCAAAGAUUCAUGUUCUUGGUUCGAACUAACUACCAGAGCAAGCUUCUUGAAGUAAUAGACUCAAGAAUUCCUGGGUGGUUCAUCCACAUGUAGUGACAAGGGUGGUUAUCUUGGAUCAAACAAAGGGCCAUGAAAUGAUCCUUAUAUAUUGAAGCUGAUACAUAAUCUGGAGGAUGGAUGUGUGAGGGAAAUCAAACCUGUUUAUGAGGGGGAGGAAAGAAGCUGCCAAUCCUGCUGGCGCCAGGGGCGAUCGGGGCAACGCGUCCCAGAGCGGGGGGCGCCAGCAGUGCCCCCUCUGGCCGAGGCGAGGCCGCACCAGGGUGCGCAGCGGGCUGGACGCCACCACCUGCCGAGAUGCCAAACCGAGCUGCUCCACAACUUGUUGUGUAGACUGCAGGUCUGAAUCUUAGGAAUGGACAUAUUUUCUCUGCAAGGGAGCUCAAACUAAAGCAGCUUACUGCAUCAAGUCUGAACUGGAGUGCAUGAUCACUGCACAAGGUAAGUUAGCUUCAGAAUUACCCAUUUUAUGUCACAUUUCAAAUGAAGCUCAAUUACAGUUGCUGGGAUAGAACUGGGCGUAGGAGAGCUACCCAGGUUAAUCUCUAACUGUUUCUGGAUUGUUUCUUCUACGUUUAAGUUUUCGGACUUAGGAGUUUAGACCUAAUAUACGAUUAACCUCUAGCCUACUAAAUUGACCAUGUAUAUCACCCUGGAUUAACACACAUGGUAAGAACUUAAAUAAUGCAACACAUGUAGCAGCUUCUGUCAAGGAACCCUCUCUGUUGAUUCUAGAAAACAUGAUGUACUGAUGUACCCUAUAGAUCACAUGUUCUGAAUUAAUGGCAACAAAUAAUAAAAGUGUAGAUUGAUUAGGCUUUGCUUUGGUUUGCUUUGCAAGUAGGAAAUAAAGGGAGAUGCUUAAAUUCAACAGCAUCUGCCAUCCAACUUAACUAAGCUCAUUAUAGUAUAUGAUUUGACUAAAUUUAAAUCACACAAUAGUACUUCUGCUUUUAUAUGAUGCUAUGUGGUAAAUGCAACAGCACCUGCAAUUCAACUACAACAUCAACAUUGCAAAGGCCAAUAUGAUUGGAAACUGUGACAUGAUUACAAAUUGGUUAAUGCAAGGUUUUAGAAUUAGACUACUGAAAGAACGAUUAGGAAAAAUAGACGUGUUCCAUUCUUUAAUGCGGUGUUUACCUGAUUUUUUUAUGUGGUCUUUCUUACUAAUUGUAUGCAGAUACCUACUGUUUGUGUGCACUUCUAUUCCAACAGUGCAGAGUAUAUAUUCAAGCAUUGGUUUACAUACUUAAGACAAUUGUUCAUGUGCAGAUAUCUUUUGUGAAUUUUGUUCCAUCUCAGAGAAUCUGACAAUGUGUGCUGUAUAAUUUUGGCCGUUUAGGUGAUCCAUGUCCGUGAGUGGCUACAGACAAGGAACAAUAUUUGGCAGCUCCAACUGUGCAAGCUUCGCUCUCUCUUUUUUUAAAAAAAAUUGUCAUGCUACAGGUCACUGUUGUUCGAUUGAAAAAAGACUAUUACAAAAUUCUUGGUGUUCCUAAGGAUGCAUCGCAGGAUGAAAUCAAUGAGGCUUUUCAUUCUGUAAAUAUCAUUACAGUUCAGAAUAUCUUGAGAUAUUUGUGAUUUUCUUAUGAUUUAUUAACAUCGUUGAUUUUCCAUCCCAUGGAAUGUUACUUUUCUAAUUUUGUCCUGGUGAUCAAAGUUGAUCCACCUUCAACUGCUACUGGCCAUACUAUUGCAAUUCUUAGUGAAGUGAAAGCUGCUAGGAAUCAGAUGAGUUCUAUUUUAGUCACAGUAUAAUCUAUUGCCUCUUUCUUUCAUGUGCUUUGUAACUUAUUAUUCAACUGCACAAGCAGUAGCACAGCUGCAUUAUUCUCUGCACAAUUUUGCACUGAAGUAACCUGGACACAGUUUCACAUGCAUUGACUGUGUACAUGGUUC
Panicum virgatum (switchgrass) is the source of this 3019-nucleotide long non-coding RNA. RefSeq lists it as uncharacterized. The transcript has 11 exons. Lineage: Eukaryota; Viridiplantae; Streptophyta; Magnoliopsida; Poales; Poaceae. The record is from RefSeq and is a predicted model, not a curated record.